UACGGGGGGGGCUAGCGUUGCUCGGAAUCACUGGGCGUAAAGGGUGCGUAGGCGGGUCUUUAAGUCAGGGGUGAAAUCCUGGAGCUCAACUCCAGAACUGCCUUUGAUACUGAGGAUCUUGAGUUCGGGAGAGGUGAGUGGAACUGCGAGUGUAGAGGUGAAAUUCGUAGAUAUUCGCAAGAACACCAGUGGCGAAGGCGGCUCACUGGCCCGAUACUGACGCUGAGGCGCGAAAGCGUGGGGAGCAAACAGG
This 253-nucleotide ribosomal RNA is filed under the name uncultured bacterium. RNAcentral's name for it is "partial 16S ribosomal RNA". It matches the Rfam family "Bacterial small subunit ribosomal RNA", at positions 524 to 776 of the family's 1533-position model. The record is from RNAcentral.